UCAAGCCUCGCCCAAGGGCUAAACUGCUGGUA
This 32-nucleotide non-coding RNA is filed under the name Homo sapiens (human). The record is from RNAcentral. Lineage: Eukaryota; Metazoa; Chordata; Mammalia; Primates; Hominidae.